This 524-nucleotide ribosomal RNA is filed under the name uncultured bacterium. Its description in RNAcentral is "bacterial SSU rRNA". It matches the Rfam family "Bacterial small subunit ribosomal RNA", at positions 355 to 874 of the family's 1533-position model. The record is from RNAcentral.
CUAAGAAUAUUCCACAAUGGACGGAAGUCUGAUGGAGCGACGCCGCGUGUACGAAGAAGGCCGAAAGGUUGUAAAGUACUUUUGCGGAUGAAGAAUAAGCUUAGGAGGGAAUGCCCGAGUGAUGACGUUAGUCCGUGAAUAAGCCCCGGCUAAUUACGUGCCAGCAGCCGCGGUAACACGUAAGGGGCGAGCGUUGUUCGGAAUUAUUGGGCGUAAAGGGCGCGUAGGCGGUUACGGAAGUCUGGCGUGAAAGGCGUGAGCUUAACUCAUGGAUUGCGUUGGAAACUGGGUAACUAGAGUCAUGGAGGGGGAGUUGGAAUUCCUGGUGUAGGGGUGAAAUCUGUAGAUAUCAGGAAGAACACCGGUGGCGAAGGCGAACUUCUAGCCGAUGACUGACGCUGAGGCGCGAAAGUGCGGGGAGCAAACAGGAUUAGAUACCCUGGUAGUCCGCACUAUAAACGAUGUGCACUAGGUGUUGGGCCGAGCGGUUCAGUGCCGGAGCGAACGCGAUAAGUGCACCGCCU